This 1422-nucleotide long non-coding RNA is filed under the name Anas platyrhynchos platyrhynchos (common mallard). RNAcentral's name for it is "lncRNA (ENSAPLG00000018627.1)". The record is from RNAcentral. Lineage: Eukaryota; Metazoa; Chordata; Aves; Anseriformes; Anatidae.
AUGUGGGUUUUUUUUUUUUGGAUAUCUGCACCCUGGCAGGCAGCAGCUACGGGCACGCGUGGCCCCCUUGGCACACGGAUACCAUGGUGCAAGAAGGCACGGCGCAGACACCCCAAACCAGCACCUUCCCCAUUAUUUGCAUUAUUUGCAUGCGCGCAGAGCUGGGGCAACGCCACGCAGCCCCGUUGUGCUGAGCUGGGCUGGAUGUCCCCGUGCUGGGUCACUGCCCUGUCCCCAUGCUGCGGGGACUCGAGGUCAGGCCCUGCCCGGAGGCAAAGCUCAGAGCACUGCGCCAGGAGAGGGCACAAAGCUCAGAGCACUGCAGCCAGGGCAGCAGCAGGGCACGGAGCCAGCCCCGGAGCAGAGCUGGAUCAUUUCUCCUCUGCUGCACGAGCCGACAGCCCCAGGAGCUGCCCUGGCACCGCCCGGGGGCUCGCCCUCCCCAUCUCCAUCCAGUCAGGAGCUGCGUCUCCAAAGCGGCACCGGUCAGAGCGCCCCAGCCCCAGGAAUUGGUUUGGGAGGAGGGGGCAAGGAGAGAAAUUCCCCAUCCAAAAUGCAGGAUCUGGCUGGCCUCCGUUCAACCGAGUGCCACCACACAGUCCCUGCAUGCAGGGCCACCAAAUCCCAAAGGGGAGCUCAUCUCCAAGCCCCCUGCCACGGCACAGCCACCCCUCUCCUCCUCCCACCACCUCUGCCCCCACCAGCCGUGCUCAUGGACACCCCAAAAUAAACAGGGAUCAGCUGUCAGAGCCAUCAGCUUGCACACACACCCUGCAGCAGAGGUGUGACCAGGGAAGGCCGACCAGGAAUUUGGGAAUUCGGACACCUGCGGGGCAGGUGCUGCAGCCAGGACCUCGAUGGGUUCGGGGUUUGGCUGGAGAGGAUGCUCCCUGUGCCUGCCAAAGGGUGUGGGGUCCAUGGGGCAGAAAUAGCCCAGCCUGGCUGCCCUCCCACCCCAAAGGGACACCACAAGGCCAGCAGCAGAGCCAGACCUCCCUACAGAGAUGCAGCCAGCCCCAUAUCAUCACACCCAAGCUCCUCGACCUCCCUGUCCCCCGUUUUUCACCCCCCAGGAGCCUCUGGAGCUGCUUUAGCAAAGCACCCAAGGAGGGUGCAGACGCGUUUGCAUUCAACCUGGGGUGCAGAGGAGGAGUCAGCACCCAAAACCUCAGCUGCCUGCAAGCAGAGGGAAGGCAGCAAACUGGUUUCUUGCUUCUCACACCAGUAACCCCAUUUCCCCCUCGAUCCCAGGGUGUGGGGUACCAGCAUCGCCGCCACCUUGAGAGCCCCCAAACACCACCCUGUGGAAAUUCCCAGGCAUUUUUUAGCCUCUUCCCUUCAGGUUCAGCCACCUCCUGUCCCCCAGAGACCUUUCCCGACCCUAAUUCCACACCGCCACAACCAGUUCCCCCAGUUAGGUAG